This 396-nucleotide ribosomal RNA is filed under the name uncultured bacterium. RNAcentral's name for it is "bacterial SSU rRNA". It matches the Rfam family "Bacterial small subunit ribosomal RNA", at positions 78 to 475 of the family's 1533-position model. The record is from RNAcentral.
GCUUGCUGGGAAUGAUUAGUGGCGGCGGGUGAGUACCAUUUAGGAAUCUGCCUAGUAGUGGGGGAUAGCUCGGGGAAACUCGAAUUAAUCCCGCAUCCGACCUACGGGUGAAAGGGGGCGCAAGCUCUUGCUUAUUAGAUGAGCCUAAAUCAGAUUAGCUAGUUGGUGGGGUAAAGGCCCACCAAGGCGACGAUCUGUAACUGGUCUGAGAGGAUGUUCGGUCAAACCGGAACUGAGACACGGUCCGGACUCCUACGGGAGGCAGCAGUGGGGAAUAUUGGACAAUGGGGGCAACCCUGAUCCAGCCAUGCCGCGUGCGUGAAGAAGGCCUUUUGGUUGUAAAGCACUUUAAGCAGGGAGGAGAGGCUAAUGGUUAAUACCCAUUAGAUUAGACGU